UUGGCCAAAAAGUUCGUUUGGCUUUUUCUGUAAGAUGUUACAGAAAAACCCGAAUGAAUUUUUGGCCAA
This 69-nucleotide microRNA precursor is filed under the name Tursiops truncatus (common bottlenose dolphin). RNAcentral describes it as "miRNA (ENSTTRG00000025029.1)". The record is from RNAcentral. Lineage: Eukaryota; Metazoa; Chordata; Mammalia; Artiodactyla; Delphinidae.